GACGAACGCUGGCGGCGUGCCUAAUACAUGCAAGUAGAACGCACAGUUUAUACCGUAGCUUGCUACACCAUAAACUGUGAGUUGCGAACGGGUGAGUAACGCGUAGGUAACCUGCCUGGUAGCGGGGGAUAACUAUUGGAAACGAUAGCUAAUACCGCAUAAUAUUAAUUAUUGCAUGAUAAUUGAUUGAAAGAUGCAAUUGCAUCACUACCAGAUGGACCUGCGUUGUAUUAGCUAGUAGGUGAGGUAACGGCUCACCUAGGCGACGAUACAUAGCCGACCUGAGAGGGUGAUCGGCCACACUGGGACGGAGACACGGCCCAGACUCCUACGGGAGGCAGCAGUAGGGAAUCUUCGGCAAUGGACGAAAGUCUGACCGAGCAACGCCGCGUGAGUGAAGAAGGUUUUCGGAUCGUAAAGCUCUGUUGUAAGAGAAGAACGGGUGUGAGAGUGGAAAGUUCACACUGUGACGGUAGCUUACCAGAAAGGGACGGCUAACUACGUG
RNAcentral lists this ribosomal RNA (505 nucleotides) under uncultured bacterium. RNAcentral's name for it is "partial 16S ribosomal RNA". It matches the Rfam family "Bacterial small subunit ribosomal RNA", at positions 28 to 507 of the family's 1533-position model. The record is from RNAcentral.